Molecule: ribosomal RNA, 497 nt
Filed under: uncultured bacterium
Lineage: Bacteria
Description: partial 16S ribosomal RNA
Rfam family: Bacterial small subunit ribosomal RNA
Source: RNAcentral
GAUGAACGCUGGCGGCGUGCCUAAUACAUGCAAGUCGAGCGAACGGACGAGAAGCUUGCUUCUCUAAUGUUAGCGGCGGACGGGUGAGUAACACGUGGAUAACCUACCUAUAAGACUGGGAUAACUUCGGGAAACCGUAGCUAAUACCGGAUAAUAUUUUGAACCGCAUGGUUCAAAAGUGAAAGACGGUCUUGCUGUCACUUAUAGAUGGAUCCGCGCUGCAUUAGCUAGUUGGUAAGGUAACGGCUUACCAAGGCAACGAUGCAUAGCCGACCUGAGAGGGUGAUCGGCCACACUGGAACUGAGACACGGUCCAGACUCCUACGGGAGGCAGCAGUAGGGAAUCUUCCGCAAUGGGCGAAAGCCUGACGGAGCAACGCCGCGUGAGUGAUGAAGGUCUUCGGAUCGUAAAACUCUGUUAUUAGGGAAGAACAUAUGUGUAAGUAACUGUGCACAUCUUUACGGUACCUAAUCAGAAAGCCACGGCUAACUACGUG